Molecule: ribosomal RNA, 497 nt
Filed under: uncultured bacterium
Lineage: Bacteria
Description: partial 16S ribosomal RNA
Rfam family: Bacterial small subunit ribosomal RNA
Source: RNAcentral
GAUGAACGCUGGCGGCGUGCCUAAUACAUGCAAGUCGAGCGAACGGACGAGAAGCUUGCUUCUCUGAUGUUAGCGGCGGACGGGUGAGUAACACGUGGAUAACCUACCUAUAAGACUGGGAUAACUUCGGGAAACCGGAGCUAAUACCGGAUAAUAUUUUGAACCGCAUGGUUCAAAAGUGAAAGACGGUCUUGCUGUCACUUAUAGAUGGAUCCGCGCUGCAUUAGCUAGUUGGUAAGGUAACGGCUUACCAAGGCAACGAUGCAUAGACGACCUGAGAGGGUGAUCGGCCACACUGGAACUGAGACACGGUCCAGACUGCUACGGGAGGCAGCAGUAGGGAAUCUUCCGCAAUGGGCGAAAGCCUGACGGAGCAACGCCGCGUGAGUGAUGAAGGUCUUCGGAUCGUAAAACUCUGUUAUUAGGGAAGAACAUAUGUGUAAGUAACUGUGCACAUCUUGACGGUACCUAAUCAGAAAGCCACGGCUAACUACGUG